This 321-nucleotide small nuclear RNA is filed under the name Meriones unguiculatus (Mongolian gerbil). RNAcentral describes it as "7SK RNA (ENSMUGG00000014050.1)". It matches the Rfam family "7SK RNA". From Rfam's summary of the family: 7SK was discovered as an abundant small nuclear RNA in the mid-70s but a possible function has only recently been suggested. Two independent studies have found that 7SK RNA binds the CDK9/cyclin T complex (known as elongation factor P-TEFb). The record is from RNAcentral. Lineage: Eukaryota; Metazoa; Chordata; Mammalia; Rodentia; Muridae.
GGAUCUGAAGGUGAUCUGACCCAACAUCUAUCAACUCACUGGUUGCCAGGAUUCAUUUUGAUUGACCUGGAUGGUCAGGCAGUGUCCCCUUACUCCUUCACCACUCCCACUAGUAUUCCUUAGUAAAACAGAAAACAAAACAAAACAAAAAAAAAACACCUUUAGGGGAAAAAAUGGUAUCUAGUCAACUGUCUAUCAGUAGUUAUACUCCCAGUCAGAACCCCCAAACAAGAUCUCUAGGAAGAUACAUGAGCCAUGACAGUGGCACACACCUUUAAUUCUAGCACUAAGGAUGCAGCAGAGGCAGGCAGGUCUCUGUAG